RNAcentral lists this ribosomal RNA (739 nucleotides) under Tolypocladium capitatum. RNAcentral's name for it is "mitochondrial SSU rRNA". It matches the Rfam family "Bacterial small subunit ribosomal RNA", at positions 370 to 1113 of the family's 1533-position model. Lineage: Eukaryota; Fungi; Ascomycota; Sordariomycetes; Hypocreales; Ophiocordycipitaceae. The record is from RNAcentral.
AAUGGCCUAACGGCUGAACUGGCAACUUGGAGAAGUGGCAAGUCCUAUUUUGAUUAUAUCGUGCGCAAGCUAUGAAUAUAAUCUAUAGGGUUGUAUUAAAAUUGAAUAAAACUUUGUUUAUAUAUUGAUAAUGACAGUAUAUAUAUCGUGUCUUGACUAAUUACGUGCCAGCAGUCGCGGUAAUACGUAAGAGACUAGUGUUAUUCAUCUUAAUUAGGUUUAAAGGGUACCUAAACGGUCAAUAUAGCUUCUAGAAUGUUAGUACUUGACUAGAGUUUUAUGUAAGAGGGUAGUACUUGAGGAGGAGAGAUGAAAUUCUAUGAUACCAAAGGGACUCGGUAAAGGCGAAGGCAACCCUCUAUGUAAAAACUGACGUUGAAGGACGAAGGCACAGAGAACAAACAGGAUUAGAUACCCAAGUAGUCUUUGCAGUAAAUGAUGAAUGCCAUAGGUCAGAUUAAGAUUUAAUAACUUAGUUCACCAGUAAGGAACUAAAUAUUAAACAUUAUUUGGUCUAUAAAUGAAAGUGUAAGCAUUUCACCUCAAGAGUAAUGUGGCAACGCAGGAACUGAAAUCACUAGACCGUUUCUGACACCAGUAGUGAAGUAUGUUGUUUAAUUCGAUGAUCCACGAAAAACCUUACCACAAUUUGUAUAAUUAUUACAGGAGUUGCACGGCUGUUUUCAGUUAAUGUUGUGAAACUGUGGUUUCCAUGUAAUUAACGCAAUCCCUGGCUUUA